CGAAGAGUCUGCUUGCGAGCGGAGAAACUCCAUUGUUUGCGUCAUUUUUUCAAUAGAAUCCGGGGAGGCAGGAGUACCCAAAGAUAUCUCAGUCGGCUCCUGCAACCCUAGUACCUUCAACUGUUUUCCAAGAGCUAAGAUGAUCUUCGAGCUUUGCAACAACCUCCUGGUGCCGACGCCGCUCACCAUGAAGCUCAACUUCCAAAGCCGCCACUUUGUCAUGCAGUUGAUGCAUUUCAGCAUCAGCAGCUCGCAUGCUGGACGCUAGGCCUAGAGUUGGGAACGAAAGCUCCAGCAAUUCUUGUUCUAUCAAAUCCUCUUCCUUCUCAGUUUCAUUUGCAGCCUACACAGGUCAAGCAUCUAGGAAUUUAUAAGUCGAAUUAUUAACAUCUGCCGUCACAGAAAUAUGGCACAGAAAGAUAACAAAAGCAAUGAAUUCUCACCGUUCCUGUUGAGCCAGAGUUAAGAUCAAGGUCAUACCUGCCGUGUUUGUAAUUCUGUAACAAGAGACUCGGUUUCACUCA
Molecule: non-coding RNA, 524 nt
Organism: Physcomitrium patens
Lineage: Eukaryota; Viridiplantae; Streptophyta; Bryopsida; Funariales; Funariaceae
Source: RefSeq, a predicted model, not a curated record